RNAcentral lists this ribosomal RNA (908 nucleotides) under Escherichia coli. Its description in RNAcentral is "partial 23S ribosomal RNA". It matches the Rfam family "Bacterial large subunit ribosomal RNA", at positions 977 to 1869 of the family's 2925-position model. The record is from RNAcentral. Lineage: Bacteria; Pseudomonadati; Pseudomonadota; Gammaproteobacteria; Enterobacterales; Enterobacteriaceae.
ACGGGAGACACACGGCGGGUGCUAACGUCCGUCGUGAAGAGGGAAACAACCCAGACCGCCAGCUAAGGUCCCAAAGUCAUGGUUAAGUGGGAAACGAUGUGGGAAGGCCCAGACAGCCAGGAUGUUGGCUUAGAAGCAGCCAUCAUUUAAAGAAAGCGUAAUAGCUCACUGGUCGAGUCGGCCUGCGCGGAAGAUGUAACGGGGCUAAACCAUGCACCGAAGCUGCGGCAGCGACGCUUAUGCGUUGUUGGGUAGGGGAGCGUUCUGUAAGCCUGUGAAGGUGUACUGUGAGGUAUGCUGGAGGUAUCAGAAGUGCGAAUGCUGACAUAAGUAACGAUAAAGCGGGUGAAAAGCCCGCUCGCCGGAAGACCAAGGGUUCCUGUCCAACGUUAAUCGGGGCAGGGUGAGUCGACCCCUAAGGCGAGGCCGAAAGGCGUAGUCGAUGGGAAACAGGUUAAUAUUCCUGUACUUGGUGUUACUGCGAAGGGGGGACGGAGAAGGCUAUGUUGGCCGGGCGACGGUUGUCCCGGUUUAAGCGUGUAGGCUGGUUUUCCAGGCAAAUCCGGAAAAUCAAGGCUGAGGCGUGAUGACGAGGCACUACGGUGCUGAAGCAACAAAUGCCCUGCUUCCAGGAAAAGCCUCUAAGCAUCAGGUAACAUCAAAUCGUACCCCAAACCGACACAGGUGGUCAGGUAGAGAAUACCAAGGCGCUUGAGAGAACUCGGGUGAAGGAACUAGGCAAAAUGGUGCCGUAACUUCGGGAGAAGGCACGCUGAUAUGUAGGUGAAGUCCCUCGCGGAUGGAGCUGAAAUCAGUCGAAGAUACCAGCUGGCUGCAACUGUUUAUUAAAAACACAGCACUGUGCAAACACGAAAGUGGACGUAUACGGUGUGACGCCUGCCCGGUGC